Molecule: ribosomal RNA, 462 nt
Filed under: uncultured bacterium
Lineage: Bacteria
Description: partial 16S ribosomal RNA
Rfam family: Bacterial small subunit ribosomal RNA
Source: RNAcentral
AUGAACGCUGACAGAAUGCUUAACACCUGCAAGUCUUUGGCGAAGCUGUGCUUGCACAGCCUAGCCAAGGCGGACGGGUGAGUAACGCGUAAGGAACUUGCCCUGCAGUCAGGGAUAACAGACGGAAACGACUGAUAAGACCUGGUAAAGUCAGGCGGACUCAUGUCCAGCCUGAUGAAAAGAGAUGCUGCAGGAGAGCCUUGCGUCCUAUUAGCUUGUUGGUGGGGUAACGGCCCACCAAGGCGAUGAUAGGUAGCCGGCCUGAGAGGGUGGACGGCCACAAGGGGACUGAGAUACGGCCCUUACUCCUACGGGAGGCAGCAGUGGGGAAUAUUGGACAAUGGGGGCAACCCUGAUCCAGCAAUUCUGUGUGCACGAUGAAGGUUUUCGGAUUGUAAAGUGCUUUCAGCAGGGAAGAAAAAAAUGACGGUACCUGCAGAAGAAGCGACGGCUAAAUACGUG